Molecule: ribosomal RNA, 321 nt
Filed under: uncultured bacterium
Lineage: Bacteria
Description: bacterial SSU rRNA
Rfam family: Bacterial small subunit ribosomal RNA
Source: RNAcentral
GACGAACGCUGGCGGCGUGCUUAACACAUGCAAGUCGAACGGGGCAAUUGAAAGCUUGCUUUUGAGAGCCUAGUGGCAAACGGGUGAGUAACGCGUAGGAAACCUACCUCCGGGAUGGGGACAACCGUCCGAAAGGACAGCUAAUACCGCAUAAAGCCUGAGGGUGAAAGCAGCAAUGCGCUAUCAGAUGUGCCCCAAAACGGGGNUUAGCUAGUAGGUGAGGUAAAGGCUCACCUAGGCGACGAUCUCUAGCUGGUCUGAGAGGAUGAUCAGCCACAUUGGGACUGAGACACGGCCCAGACUUCCACGGGAGGCAGCAGU